AGAGUUUGAUCCUGGCUCAGGACGAACGCUGGCGGCGUGCCUAACACAUGCAAGUCGAACGAAGUAUGUUUUUCGAAACAUACUUAGUGGCGGACGGGUGAGUAACGCGUGAAUAAUCUGCCCUGUACAAAGGAAUAGCCUCGGGAAACUGGGAUUAAAACCGUAUGACACUUUUAAACCGCAUGGUUGAGAAGUCAAAUUGAUUAAGAGGUAUGGGAUGAGUUCGCGUCUGAUUAGCUAGUUGGUAAGGUAAAAGCUUACCAAGGCGACGAUCAGUAGCCGGCCUGAGAGGGUGAACGGCCACACUGGAACUGAGACACGGUCCAGACUCCUACGGGAGGCAGCAGUGGGGAAUAUUGCACAAUGGAGGAAACUCUGAUGCAGCGACGCCGCGUGAGUGAAGAAGGUCUUCGGAUCGUAAAACUCUGUCCUUGGUGAAGAAAGAAAUGACGGUAGCCAAGGAGGAAGCCCCGGCUAACUACGUGCCAGCAGCCGCGGUAAUACGUAGGGGGCGAGCGUUGUCCGGAUUUACUGGGCGUAAAGGGUGAGUAGGCGGUAAUAUGUGUCAGGUGUAAAAGGCUAAGGCUUAACCAUAGUUAGCAUUUGAAACUGUAUUACUUGAGUGCAGGANAGGUAAGUGGAAUUCCUAGUGAGGGUGAAAUGCGUAGAUNUNGGAGGACACCAGUGNGAAGGGGACUUACUGGACUGUAACUGACGCUGAGUCACGAAGCGUGGGUAGCAACAGGAUAGAUACCUGGUAUCCCGCUGUAACGAUGAUGCUAGUGUUGGGUAGCGAUAUUCAGUGCCGAAGUUAACACAAUAAGCACUCCGCCUGGGGAGUACGGUCGCAAGACUGAAACUCAAAGGAAUUGACGGGGACCCGCACAAGCAGCGGAGCAUGUGGUUUAAUUCGAAGCAACGCGAAGAACCUUACCAAGGUUUGACAUCCCCUUGACAGAUGCAGAGAUGUAUCCUCUCCUUCGGGAGCAAGGGAGACAGGUGGUGCAUGGUUGUCGUCAGCUCGUGUCGUGAGAUGUUGGGUUAAGUCCCGCAACGAGCGCAACCCUUAUCAUUAGUUGCCAGCAGGUUAAGCUGGGCACUCUAAUGAGACUGCCGAUGAUAAAUCGGAGGAAGGUGGGGAUGACGUCAAAUCAUCAUGCCCCUUAUAUCUUGGGCUACACACGUGCUACAAUAGUCGGUACAAAGGGCAGCGAAAGAGUGAUCUGGAGCAAAUCUCAAUAAACCGAUCCCAGUUCGGAUUGUAGGCUGCAACUCGCCUACAUGAAGUUGGAGUUGCUAGUAAUCGCGAAUCAGAACGUCGCGGUGAAUGCGUUCCCGGGUCUUGUACACACCGCCCGU
RNAcentral lists this ribosomal RNA (1359 nucleotides) under uncultured bacterium. Its description in RNAcentral is "bacterial SSU rRNA". It matches the Rfam family "Bacterial small subunit ribosomal RNA". The record is from RNAcentral.